RNAcentral lists this ribosomal RNA (60 nucleotides) under uncultured organism. Its description in RNAcentral is "partial 16S ribosomal RNA". The record is from RNAcentral.
AGGAUUUGACAUGGAGUCGUCGCAGCCAGAGAUGGUUGUUCCCGCAAGGGCGGCUCGCAC